This is a long non-coding RNA of Etheostoma spectabile (orangethroat darter), 1099 nucleotides long. RefSeq lists it as uncharacterized. Lineage: Eukaryota; Metazoa; Chordata; Actinopteri; Perciformes; Percidae. The record is from RefSeq and is a predicted model, not a curated record. The transcript has 3 exons.
ACAGCCAGAGGUGAGGUGACAAUAUUUCCCCCAAGGCAUUCUUAGUGUUGCACUCAUUUGCACAUAAGAAAACAGUAAGGAAGUAAGGAACGGCACUGAGGUUUGAAGGGAAGGGGUUUCAGAUGUCACCGAUCCAAAAAGCACCAAGAAUCAUACCGACACCUUAACAGUGGUAUGGACGGCAGUAGAUGUGGUUUACUCUGCAUUUUCAAAUCUAUGCAAAACAGAUUUGGAUGUCCUAAGGUAAAGAAGAGACUAGGUCACGUCAGGGUUUCUUGUCACCAAUUGUUCUCAGUUUCAUACGGAAGAGGAUUAGGGCCACUGAUGAAAAACGUAUGUGAGAUCUGAAUUUUUUUUCUCAGAAUUCUGACUAUAAUCUCAGAAUUUAAAAAAAAAAAGUCAAUUUAUGUGGGAUCUGAAUUUUUUUCUCAGAGUUCAGACUUUUUUUCUCAGAAUUCAGACUUUUUUAAAUUCUGAGAUUAAAGUCAGAAUUCUGAGGAAAAAAAGUCAGAACUCGCAUACAUUUUUCACCAGUGGCCCUAAUCCUCUUCCGUAGUUUCAGGAGAUUGGCUGGGGUCGGUGUUAUUUUAUUUUGAAUGUUACAUGGAAGCAGAUGUUCUACUAAAAUCUCCAGGCUUCUGCUCAUAGCUAUAGGACAUCCCCUGAGCCCUUCACAUUACACUUGCUCUUUACUAGGCAGUUACCAUUUGCCUUUUAACUUAACUUAAUUUAACGUAAAGGAGAACAUCUCUCUAAGAUGUGCAAUCAUUUGUGUGGCAGGUUUUUUUUUGUAGAGUUUGUGUUUUGGAGAGCAUUUUUUUUGUAUAGAUGACCGCCCUUCAUAAGUCAUAAUCCAUAACCAUGGCCAUUUGUUGGUGAAAUGUGAAGUGCAAUUUGUUAUUGGUCAGUAUUUUGUCUUAGGGAUUUAAGGGUGUGGCUGUUGCUUGGUUGAGAAGACUAUUUCAGCAUGACCUGCGAGAACUGUUCCCCAGAUUUGCACUACAGGAUAGAUAUGAAACGGAAUGAAGGGGCAGUAUUUGGAUGCUUUUGGUCAUGUAUAAUUUGCACUUCUUGUUCGUAGUUUCUAUUUGAAAUUAUA